AUGAACGCUGGCGGCGUGCCUAAUACAUGCAAGUCGAGCGAACAGACGAGGAGCUUGCUCCUCUGACGUUAGCGGCGGACGGGUGAGUAACACGUGGAUAACCUACCUAUAAGACUGGGAUAACUUCGGGAAACCGGAGCUAAUACCGGAUAAUAUAUUGAACCGCAUGGUUCAAUAGUGAAAGACGGUUUUGCUGUCACUUAUAGAUGGAUCCGCGCCGCAUUAGCUAGUUGGUAAGGUAACGGCUUACCAAGGAGACGAUGCGUAGCCGACCUGAGAGGGUGAUCGGCCACACUGGAACUGAGACACGGUCCAGACUCCUACGGGAGGCAGCAGUAGGGAAUCUUCCGCAAUGGGCGAAAGCCUGACGGAGCAACGCCGCGUGAGUGAUGAAGGUCUUCGGAUCGUAAAACUCUGUUAUUAGGGAAGAACAAAUGUGUAAGUAACUAUGCACGUCUUGACGGUACCUAAUCAGAAAGCCACGGCUAACUACGUG
This 496-nucleotide ribosomal RNA is filed under the name uncultured bacterium. RNAcentral's name for it is "partial 16S ribosomal RNA". It matches the Rfam family "Bacterial small subunit ribosomal RNA", at positions 29 to 507 of the family's 1533-position model. The record is from RNAcentral.